UACCCGUUUGCAUGUACUUUAUGAAUAAGGAUCGGCUAACUCCGUGCCAGCAGCCGCGGUAAUACGGAGGAUCCGAGCGUUAUUCGGAUUUAUUGGGUUUAAAGGGAGCGUAGAUGGAUGUUUAAGUCAGUUGUGAAAGUUUGCGGCUCAACCGUAAAAUUGCAGUUGAUACUGGAUAUCUUGAGUGCAGUUGAGGCAGGCGGAAUUCUUGGUGUAACGGUGAAAAUGCUUAGAUAUCACGAAAAACUCCGAUUGCGAAGGCAGCCUGCUAACCUGCAACUGACAUUUGAGGUCGAAAGUGUGGGUAUCAAACAAGAUUAGAUACCCUGGUAGUCCACACGGUAAACGAUGAAUACUCGCUGUUUGCGAUAUACAGCAAGCGGCCAAGCGAAAGCGUUAAGUAUUCCACCUGGGGAGUACGCCGGCAACGGUGAAACUCAAAGGAAUUGACGGGGGCCCGCACAAGCGGAGGAACAUGUGGUUUAAUUCGAUGAUACGCGAGGAACCUUACCCGGGCUUAAAUUGCAGAUGAAUUACGGUGAAAGCCGUAAGCCGCAAGGCAUCUGUGAAGGUGCUGCAUGGUUGUCGUCAGCUCGUGCCGUGAGGUGUCGGCUUAAGUGCCAUAACGAGCGCAACCCUUGUUGUCAGUUACUAACAGGUUCCGCUGAGGACUCUGACAAGACUGCCAUCGUAAGAUGUGAGGAAGGUGGGGAUGACGUCAAAUCAGCACGGCCCUUACGUCCGGGGCUACACACGUGUUACAAUGGGGGGUACAGAGGGCCGCUACCACGCGAGUGGAUGCCAAUCCCCAAAACCUCUCUCAGUUCGGACUGGAGUCUGCAACCCGACUCCACGAAGCUGGAUUCGCUAGUAAUCGCGCAUCAGCCACGGCGCGGUGAAUACGUUCCCGGGCCUUGUACACACCGCCCGUCAAG
Molecule: ribosomal RNA, 935 nt
Filed under: uncultured bacterium
Lineage: Bacteria
Description: bacterial SSU rRNA
Rfam family: Bacterial small subunit ribosomal RNA
Source: RNAcentral